AUACGGAGGGUGCAAGCGUUGUUCGGAAUUACUGGGCGUAAAGCGCGUGUAGGCGGCGGGGCAAGUCGCAUGUGAAAGCCCGGGGCUCAACCCUGGAACUGCAUCCGAAACUGCCACGCUAGAGUCCCGGAGAGGAAGGCAGAAUUCCCAGUGUAGGGGUGAAAUCCGUAGAUAUUGGGAGGAAUACCAGUGGCGAAGGCGGCCUUCUGUACGGUGACUGACGCUCAGACGCGAAAGCGUGGGGAGCAAACAGGAUUAGAAACCCCAGUAGUCC
Molecule: ribosomal RNA, 274 nt
Filed under: uncultured bacterium
Lineage: Bacteria
Description: partial 16S ribosomal RNA
Rfam family: Bacterial small subunit ribosomal RNA
Source: RNAcentral